This 464-nucleotide ribosomal RNA is filed under the name Vreelandella stevensii. RNAcentral's name for it is "partial 16S ribosomal RNA". It matches the Rfam family "Bacterial small subunit ribosomal RNA", at positions 338 to 794 of the family's 1533-position model. The record is from RNAcentral. Lineage: Bacteria; Pseudomonadati; Pseudomonadota; Gammaproteobacteria; Oceanospirillales; Halomonadaceae.
CCUACGGGGGGCUGCAGUGGGGAAUAUUGGACAAUGGGCGAAAGCCUGAUCCAGCCAUGCCGCUUGUGUGAAGAAGGCCUUCGGGUUGUAAAGCACUUUCAGUGGGGAAGAAAGCCUUGGGGCUAAUACCCUCGAGGAAGGACAUCACCCACAGAAGAAGCACCGGCUAACUCCGUGCCAGCAGCCGCGGUAAUACGGAGGGUGCGAGCGUUAAUCGGAAUUACUGGGCGUAAAGCGCGCGUAGGCGGUCUGAUAAGCCGGUUGUGAAAGCCCCGGGCUCAACCUGGGAACGGCAUCCGGAACUGUCAGGCUAGAGUGCAGGAGAGGAAGGUAGAAUUCCCGGUGUAGCGGUGAAAUGCGUAGAGAUCGGGAGGAAUACCAGUGGCGAAGGCGGCCUUCUGGACUGACACUGACGCUGAGGUGCGAAAGCGUGGGUAGCAAACAGGAUUAGAUACCCGAGUAGU